GUCUUUUUGAAYAYMAUUUAAAGUCUCGCCUGCCCMCUGAAUAUUAAAUGGCCGCGGUAUUUUGACCGUGCAAAGGUAGCAUAAUCRUUAGUUUUUUAAUUGAAAGCUGGAAUGAAUGGUUGGAUGAGAAAAAUUCUGUCUCAAAUUAAAUUUUUUAAAAUUUUAUUUUURAGUUAAAAAGCUUAAAUAAAUUUAAAAGACGAGAAGACCCUAUAGAGUUUUAUAAAUUUAUUAAUAAGAAUAAUAAAGAAUUAAUUUUUUUUUAUUAUUAAAUUUAUUUGAUUGGGGUGAUUGAAAAAUUAAAAAAACUUUUUUUAUAUAUUUACAUAAAUUAAUGAGUAAAUGAUCCAUUAAUAGUGAUUAUAAGAAUAAAUUACCUUAGGGAUAACAGCGUAAUUUUUUCAAAGAGUUCUAAUCGACGAAAAAGAUUGCGACCUCGAUGUUGGAUUAAAAUUUAUAUUUGGUGGAGAAGCUAAAUUAUUAGGUCUGUUCVMCCUUDAAAAUUUUACA
Molecule: ribosomal RNA, 510 nt
Filed under: Indalmus lineella
Lineage: Eukaryota; Metazoa; Arthropoda; Insecta; Coleoptera; Endomychidae
Description: partial 16S ribosomal RNA
Rfam family: Archaeal large subunit ribosomal RNA (bases 384-510)
Source: RNAcentral